This 207-nucleotide non-coding RNA is filed under the name Paenibacillus sp. Lineage: Bacteria; Bacillati; Bacillota; Bacilli; Caryophanales; Paenibacillaceae. RNAcentral also lists the same sequence under 1 other name. The record is from RNAcentral.
ACUGAAUAACGGGAAACAGGUGCUUCCCGGAGAUGAAUCAGUCUCCGGAUAAGCUUAAUAGGGAAGUUCGGUGCAAAGCCGACGCGGUCCCGCCACUGUAACAGAAGAGUCGCAGCACACAUGUCACUGGUUGCAAGAGCAGCCGGGAAGACUGCUGACGAUGUUGACGCUGAUAGCCAGGAGACCUGCCUGUUUCGACGACACUGC